GGGACUUUUGGGAUAGCAUUGGAAAUAUAAAUGAGGAAAAUACCUAAUAAAAAUAUUUUAAAAAGAAGUAAUCAUCUAAAAUUGUAAUCUCAUGAUUAAAAUAUAUAACUUCAUAGCCUGAGUUGGGUGAAGUAGCUACCUGCUUUCUCUUAAGCUUCUUUCUUCCUUCCUUCCUUUCUUUCUUUCUUUCUUUCUUUCUUUCUUUCUUUCUUUCUUUCUUUCUUUCUUUCUUUCUUCUUCUUCUUCUUCUUCUUCUUCUUCUUCUUCUUCUUCUUCUUCUUCUUCUUCUUCUUCUUCUUCUUCUCCUCCUCCUCCUCCUCCUCCUCCUCCUCCUCCUUCCUCUUCCCUAUCCCCUCCCCUCCUCCUUCUCCUCUUUCUUCUUCACUUAGAUAUUGCCUCAAAUAACAUAAUUUGAUUUCUAAUUUUCACUGAAAACUUACAAGGAGCUAAGAGUUCUACAUCUUGUUCCAAAGGCUACCAGGAGAAGACUGGUUUUGAGGCAGCUAGGAGGAGGGUCUCAAAGCCCACCCCCACAGUGACACAUUUCUCUAACACAGCCAUAUCUGCUCCAACAAGGCCACGCCAUCUUGUAGAGCCAUUUCCUGGGCCAAGCAUAUCACACUGUGGGUUCCUCAUACUUCUUACAGACACCUUUUAUCUCCGGCUGUUUUAUGGUUUUAGGGGAUUUGAAAGUUGCAAGCUAUUUCCUGAAUUUUGAUUCAAUUCUGCUGUAGUUUUGAAAGAAGACAUAAGUAUAAAGUGCAAAACAUGAUAUUAAAAUGCUUUUCACUAUGUUUAACAUAUAUGGAAAUAUGGGUCUACUCCUAAGACAUUUGAGAAGUCAUAUAUUUAAAAAGACUAAAGUGCUACAAAUGUGGAACUGAAUGUAUCAAUAUAUAAAUGAUGUGGUGGCAUAUGGCUUGAAGUUAACGAAGCUUCCUUUCCUAGCUGCCUCCUUAUGGACUCUAUAUAAAAGGGGGUCAUAGGGAUACUUUGAGGCCAGUCAGAUGUUUUAUUCAGAGCACUGAGUUCCAAACUUGUAUGACAGAGGUUUCAUUCUUAUAAAACUAAACUAAACUAAACUAAACUAAACUAAACUAAACUAAACU
This 1109-nucleotide long non-coding RNA is filed under the name Mus musculus (house mouse). Its description in RNAcentral is "long non-coding RNA chr15:40338640-40339749". The record is from RNAcentral. Lineage: Eukaryota; Metazoa; Chordata; Mammalia; Rodentia; Muridae.